AGCCAUUUGACUGGUGUUUGGUUGAUAAAUUGUUAACUAAUUGUAUAGAUACGCACUAUCUUAGUUUGGUGAAAUUGAUUUAUAUUUAAUUUUUACAGGGUUCUCUCUCAUAUUCUUAAUUAAUCUGGUGGUGGAUAAUGGCCUACUGGUAUUUUGGUUUUAUGCCUGUGGGAUAUGGCAAGAGAUGAUGGUCUCAUGGAGCAUUGAUUUUACUUGAUGAGAAGAUUUCAGUAGAACAUUGCUCUGCCAUGCCUGCAACAUCCUAAUGGACAUGUGGCUAGAACAGGGCAGCGCAUAUCGUCUCCCGGAUUAGAACAGGCAUGGGUUCACAAGUAUGGCGGGAUGUGCUUGGGGCAGCGGAGGGAGGCGGGCCACUAAGGGGGCUGACAGCGGCAGCCAUGCCGGAGUGGCAAUGGCAGAGUAGCCAAGAUGCAGCAGUCGAGGUAAUAAAUUUCAGGCUUCUGUAUCAUCCUCCCUGGCUUCCUCCUGAAUAACCACCCGACCGAUUUGGUUGUUCAUUUCCAUGACUGCACACCCUGUUUGCGAUCCACAUUGGCAUCUGUCAAAAAGUUUAAGCUCUUGAGCAAUGUAUGUGGUUUUGAAUAUACACUUGGUAGUCCACACAUAUUUAAAUCAUCUGGGAAUGAUGGGUUAUACUUCCUCAUUAAGCUUGCAUAAUGUUAGGAUAGGCAUCCACAAGAAAGCACCAUGAGCUCUAACUAAAAUCAACACUAAAAUAUGUAGGUAUUCCGAGAACUGAUUUACAUGACUUAUUUUUCCCUUUGUUGGAGAUCUGCUCUUAUUAUUUUAUGUAUAUUCUAUUGAUAAUUCUGUCUACUAAAAAGGUGGGUACUCGUUAAGCAUGUCGUGGCGGAGUGUGUUCGUCCUAAAUUACGAAUAACCAUAUAAAAUGUGUGACCCCGUCAGUUAUCAUCAUGACACAUGCCUUGAUCCUUCAAGAUUUCCCAUUUCUCUUUCCAUGAGAAUGCAUUAUAGAAAUGGCACAUUGAUUGAUUCAUUUUCUAAUGCAGUACCACAUUUAUACACAAGGAGAAGUCCUUAAUUUGACACACAAGAAGGUUAAGAAGACCUGCAAAUUACGAUUGCACCAGUGAUUCAUGGAUCAUAAACAUUCAGAUUCAGGCAUUACAUCCUUGGAUGCCGAGGGAGCAGAUGACCACCAGAGGAAGUAAAAAGGAAAAAUGGGAGUGUAGCUGGCAAGUUACAUCCUUGCUUUUUUUUUUGAAUGUAUCGAUGAUGUAUUGUGUCAAGUCUUAACGUGUCCGAUACCAAGUUUUUUAUUAUACAAUAUAUUGGUCACAACUUGUCAACUUGCACAUGAUCAGUGUGUAUUUUUUUAUUACAUUUUAUACAUUUUUACUCUGAAUUAUCUGUCAUCUACCUCA
This is a non-coding RNA of Lolium perenne, 1406 nucleotides long. Lineage: Eukaryota; Viridiplantae; Streptophyta; Magnoliopsida; Poales; Poaceae. The record is from RefSeq and is a predicted model, not a curated record.